This 460-nucleotide ribosomal RNA is filed under the name uncultured bacterium. Its description in RNAcentral is "partial 16S ribosomal RNA". It matches the Rfam family "Bacterial small subunit ribosomal RNA", at positions 338 to 795 of the family's 1533-position model. The record is from RNAcentral.
CCUACGGGGGGCAGCAGUGAGGAAUAUUGGUCAAUGGACGAGAGUCUGAACCAGCCAAGUAGCGUGAAGGAUGACUGCCCUAUGGGUUGUAAACUUCUUUUAUAAAGGAAUAAAACGAGGCACGUGUGCCUCUUUGCAUGUACUUUAUGAAUAAGGAUCGGCUAACUCCGUGCCAGCAGCCGCGGUAAUACGGAGGAUCCGAGCGUUAUCCGGAUUUAUUGGGUUUAAAGGGUGCGUAGAUGGGUUGUUAAGUCAGUUGUGAAAGUGUGCGGCUCAACCGUAAAAUUGCAAUUGAUACUGGCAGUCUUGAGUACAUUUGAGGUAGGCGGAAUGCGUGGUGUAGCGGUGAAAUGCUUAGAUAUCACGAAGAACCCCGAUUGCGAAGGCAGCUUACUAAGCUGUGACUGACAUUGAUGCUCGAAAGUGUGGGUAUCAAACAGGAUUAGAUACCCUUGUAGUC